Molecule: ribosomal RNA, 410 nt
Filed under: uncultured microorganism
Description: bacterial SSU rRNA
Rfam family: Archaeal small subunit ribosomal RNA
Source: RNAcentral
GUGCAGCAGGCGCGAAAACUUUACAAUGUGCGAAAGCACGAUAAGGGAACUCUGAGUGCCUCCUAAGGAGGCUGUUCUGAUGUCUAAAAAGCAACAGAAGUAAGGGCUGGGUAAGACCGGUGCCAGCCGCCGCGGUAACACCGGCAGCCCAAGUGGUAGCCACGUUUAUUGGGUCUAAAGCGUUCGUAGCCGGCCAGGUAAGUUCCUUGGUAAAUUUAGCCGCUUAACGGUUAAGCUUUCAGGGAAUACUGCUUGGCUUGGGACUGGGAGAGGUCAGAGGUACUCCGGGGGUAGGGGUGAAAUCUAUUAAUCCCUGGGGGACCACCGGUAGCGAAGGCGUCUGACCAGACCAGGUCCGACGGUGAGGGACGAAGGCUAGGGGCGCGAACCGGAUUAGAUACCCCGGUAGU